RNAcentral lists this ribosomal RNA (440 nucleotides) under uncultured bacterium. RNAcentral describes it as "bacterial SSU rRNA". It matches the Rfam family "Bacterial small subunit ribosomal RNA", at positions 357 to 811 of the family's 1533-position model. The record is from RNAcentral.
GGGAAUUUUCCGCAAUGGGCGAAAGCCUGACGGAGCAAUACCGCGUGNGGGANGAAGGCUUUUGGGUCGUAAACCUCUUUUGUUAGGGAAGAACACAAUGACGGUACCUAACGAAUCAGCAUCGGCUAACUCCGUGCCAGCAGCCGCGGUAAUACGGAGGAUGCAAGCGUUAUCCGGAAUUAUUGGGCGUAAAGCGUCCGCAGGUGGUUUNUCAAGUCUGCUGUUAAAGCAUGGGGCUUAACCCCAUAUNGGCAGUGGAAACUGAGAGACUAGAGUACGGUAGGGGUAGCGGGAAUUCCCAGUGUAGCGGUGAAAUGCGUAGAUAUUGGGAAGAACACCAGCGGCGAAGGCGCGCUACUGGGCCGAAACUGACACUGANGGACGAAAGCUAGGGGAGCGAAAGGGAUUAGAUACCCCUGUAGUCCUAGCUGUAAACGAUG